Molecule: ribosomal RNA, 377 nt
Filed under: uncultured bacterium
Lineage: Bacteria
Description: bacterial SSU rRNA
Rfam family: Bacterial small subunit ribosomal RNA
Source: RNAcentral
GAUUAACGCUGGCGGCAUGCCUAAUACAUGCAAGUCGAACGAAGUAGUUUACUACUUAGUGGCGAACGGGUGAGUAACACGUAGGGAACCUGCCUCAAAGUCGAGGAUAACUAUUGGAAACGAUAGCUAAGACUGGAUAGUAUAUCAGAAGGCAUCUUUUGAUAUUUAAAGGUCCGUUUGGAACGCUUUUGAGAUGGCCCUGCGGCGCAUUAGCUAGUUGGUGAGGUAACGGCCCACCAAGGCGACGAUGCGUAGCUGUGCUGAGAGGCAAAACAGCCACACUGGGACUGAGACACGGCCCAGACUCCUACGGGAGGCAGCAGUAGGGAAUUUUCGGCAAUGGGGGAAACCUGACCGAGCAAUGCCGCGUGAAUGAU